AUUGAACGCUGGCGGCAUGCCUUACACAUGCAAGUCGAACGGCAGCGCGUCCUUCGGGAUGGCGGCGAGUGGCGAACGGGUGAGUAGAGCAUCGGAACGUGCCCGGUAGUGCGGGAUAGCUCGGCGAAAGCCGGAUUAAUACCGCAUGAGAUCCGAGGAUGAAAGCAGGGGAUCGCAAGACCUUGCGCUACUGGAGCGGCCGAUGUCAGAUUAGGUAGUUGGUGGGGUAAAGGCUCACCAAGCCUGCGAUCUGUAGCUGGUCUGAGAGGAUGAUCAGCCACAUCGGGACUGAGACACGGCCCGAACUCCUACGGGAGGCAGCAGUGGGGAAUUUUGGACAAUGGGCGCAAGCCUGAUCCAGCCAUGCCGCGUGCAGGAUGAAGGCCCUCGGGUUGUAAACUGCUUUUGUACGGAACGAAAGGCCUCCUUCGAAUAAAGGGGGGAGAUGACGGUACCGUAAGAAUAAGCACCGGCUAACUACGUGCCAGCAGCCGCGGUAAUACGUAGGGUGCGAGCGUUAAUCGGAAUUACUGGGCGUAAAGCGUGCGCAGGCGGUUUUGCAAGACAGUGGUGAAAUCCCCGGGCUCAACCUGGGAACUGCCAUUGUGACUGCAAGGCUGGAGUACGGCAGAGGGGGAUGGAAUUCCGCGUGUAGCAGUGAAAUGCGUAGAUAUGCGGAGGAACACCGAUGGCGAAGGCAGUCCCCUGGGCCUGUACUGACGCUCAUGCACGAAAGCGUGGGGAGCAAACAGGAUUAGAUACCCUGGUAGUCCACGCCCUAAACGAUGUCAACUGGUUGUUGGGGAUUUAUUUCUUCAGUAACGAAGCUAACGCGUGAAGUUGACCGCCUGGGGAGUACGGCCGCAAGGUUAAAACUCAAAGGAAUUGACGGGGACCCGCACAAGCGGUGGAUGAUGUGGUUUAAUUCGAUGCAACGCGAAAAACCUUACCCACCUUUGACAUGUAUGGAAUCCUGAAGAGAUUUGGGAGUGCUCGCAAGAGAGCCAUAACACAGGUGCUGCAUGGCUGUCGUCAGCUCGUGUCGUGAGAUGUUGGGUUAAGUCCCGCAACGAGCGCAACCCUUGCCAUCAGUUGCUACGAAAGGGCACUCUGAUGGGACUGCCGGUGACAAACCGGAGGAAGGUGGGGAUGACGUCAAGUCCUCAUGGCCCUUAUAGGUGGGGCUACACACGUCAUACAAUGGCCGGUACAAAGGGCAGCGAAGCCGCGAGGUGAAGCCAAUCCCAUAAAGCCGGUCGUAGUCCGGAUUGCAGGCUGCAACUCGCCUGCAUGAAGUCGGAAUCGCUAGUAAUCGUGGAUCAGCAUGUCACGGUGAAUACGUUCCCGGGUCUUGUACACACCGC
This 1364-nucleotide ribosomal RNA is filed under the name uncultured bacterium. RNAcentral's name for it is "bacterial SSU rRNA". It matches the Rfam family "Bacterial small subunit ribosomal RNA", at positions 28 to 1393 of the family's 1533-position model. The record is from RNAcentral.